Molecule: long non-coding RNA, 2487 nt
Organism: Pan troglodytes (chimpanzee)
Lineage: Eukaryota; Metazoa; Chordata; Mammalia; Primates; Hominidae
Exons: 2
Source: RefSeq, a predicted model, not a curated record
CUGGGGCUCGAGGCAGGUUUGGGGAGCCCAGGGUUUUACCAGGUCCUGUUGCGGGCAGGGGGCUCCUCGGGCAGCUCCUGGGGUCUUGAGCCCACCCCUGGCCUGAGCAGCCAGCCGUGUGGGGCUAAGGGGCUGCCGCCCCUUCCCCGUGCCCCACCCAGCCAUCCACCCGCCCUCCCGGGGGUUCCCUACAGCCUGGGUGGGAGCUGCCGUCUGGGCUUCAGGCCCACGGUGCUGUCCAGGGCCCAAGCUCACCCUGCCUCUCCCGUGACCCCAGGGGCGCUGGUGUCUGGCCACUGCCCCGCCCCCAGCCUCUUCUAGGAAUGCCUGGCAGGGCUGCAGGCGCCUGUUUGCUUUUGCCCUGCGCCAUCCUCGGGGAGUGUGUGGGGGUGGCCUGGCCAUGGGAGCCAGGUCUUGUGCCUCAGACAAGCCUCACCUGCCCCUUGCUGUCCCCCAAGGCUCUGGUGAGGGCCUGGCCGCCCCACAGUCACCGCUUGUGUGCAGAGAGGCCACAGGAAUGUGUGCCCAGCCAUGUCCGAGGCCACCCCUGGGCUCCGUCUCCACCUGCCUCCAGAGGCCCCUGGUUCCCCUCCACCUGCUCAAACCACUUCCCAGCCAGUCGCUCUCUCCCCCAGGGCCUGAGCAGGUGCAGCCCCUCCCCUCCAGGUCCCUGCAGGCCCCUCCCCUGGCUGUCAGUGGGGCCUGCCCACCAGUCCCUCGGCAGUGGGAAAGUGUGCAGGGAAGCAGCCGGAAGGGGUGCAGGCGGGGGCACAGCUGGGGCUCAGGGAGACCGCAGCUUUCCAGGGCCCUACCCCAUCCUCAGCUCCGGCCUCACCUGGCAGGCCCCGUGCAGAGCUGUGGGAAGCCGCCGGCCCAGUGUCAUCGUCUUCCCUUUAUCAAGAAUUGAUCAUUUUCCAGGUGGCGUCUCGGCUCCUCUUCUGAGAAAUUAUAGAUCCACGGGGAGAAAGUCCACACCCAGAAAGACCCACGAUCCGUUUACUCAGCAGAAAACGCAGACUCAGCAGGGGCCUGGGGCCUGAGGCCAGCAGACCUGGGCGGCGGCCUCUCAGGAGAGGUCCCCGUGGGGGCCCCAGCCUCUGUCAGGCCGCGCACCCCACCUGGGAGCCCCGCACAUUCCAGAGGGAACCAUCGUCACCCACCAUGAAUUACGCUGCCACCUGUGUUUCUCACGGAUGCUAUGGGAGGCAGAAUAGUGCUUACCGCAAAGAUGGCCACAUUCUAACCCCUGGGCCCUGGGAUGAUGUGAGGCCACACCAACAAGAGGAGGUGCCAAUUUCAGGUCAGUUCCCCAAAAUGGAGUAGCAUGGCUUUUCCAGGUGAACCUGGGGAAUUGCGCGGUCCUUAAAAGCAGAGGAGGAGUUGCCUUGAGGCACGGAGGACUCGACCUGCUGUUGCUGGCUUUGAAGAUGGCAGGAAGGGCCACGAGCCAAGGGUGCCUGUGGAAAGGAUGGGGAUACAGAGCCUCCCCCAGGGCCUCUGCAGGGAACGCAACCCUGCCCACACCUUCCUUUUAGUCCCACGAGACCCAUGUCAAACUACCGACCUCCAAACCGCAAGGUACACUUGGGUUUUAGUUUUUGGGUUUUUUUUUUUUUUUGAGAUGGAGUAUUGCUCUGUUACCCAGGCUGGAGUGCAGUGGCACGAUCUUGGGUCACUGCAACCUCCACCUCCUGGGUUCAAGCACUUCUCUGGUCUCAGCCUCCCAAGUAGCUGGGAUUACAGGCAUGUGCCACCACACCUGGCUAAUUUUUGUAUUUUUAGUAGAGAUGGGGUUUCGCCAUGUUGGCCAGGCUUGUCGUGAACUCCUGACCUCAAGUGAUUCACCCGCCUCAGCAUCCCAAAGUGUUGGGAUGACAGGUGUGAGCCAUACCUGGCCUAAACUUGUGUUGUUUUAAAUCACUGAGGUGGCGGUGACGUAUCCCAGCAGCAAUUGGAACCUAACACAGAUGGCCUUUUCCAGCUGGGGACUUCCCCUUCUGUUCCUGGGUUGUGAGAUUCUUUAUCAGGAACAGGUGUGGGACUUUUGUCCUGUGCUUUUCUGCAUUGAUUGAGAUGGAUCUUGUGGGUGCUUUUUUUUUUUUUUUUUUUUUUUUUUUUUGGAAACAGGCUCUGGCUGUGUUUCCCAGGCUAGAGUGCAGUGGCACAAUCUCAGCUCAUUGAACUUGUGCCUCCUGGGCGCAAAUGAUCCUCUGGUUUCAGCCUUGUGAGUAGCUAAGACCAUAAGCAUGCACUCCCAUCCAUGCCUGGCUAAUUUUUGUUUUUUUUGUUUGUUUGUUUAUUUUGGUAGAGACAGGGUUUCGCUAUAUUGCCCAGGCUAGUCUUGAACUCCUGGGCUCAAGCAAUCCAUCCACCUCAGCCUCCCAAAGUGCUGGGAUUACAGGCAUCUGUUUUUCUGUUAAUGUGGCUUAUGACGUUAAGUGCUUUGUAGAUGUUUAAGCAACCUCACUUUGCUGUGAUACACCCACC